Molecule: long non-coding RNA, 1045 nt
Filed under: Sus scrofa (pig)
Lineage: Eukaryota; Metazoa; Chordata; Mammalia; Artiodactyla; Suidae
Description: lncRNA (ENSSSCG00070003406.1)
Source: RNAcentral
CUUGACCCUAUUCCAAGGGAUAUUGGUAAUAGUUUUGCAUGACAAUGUGGGAUUUUUCCUUUUAAACAACAAUGAUUACUCUCCUUUCUUUUAUAUUUUAAUUCAUUUAAUAAUUACUCCAACACAUUUCUCUUCCUUCAGGGUCUUACACAUACACUUUUCCGUCAAUCAAAUAAACGUGACUGACAAUAUAUUUCCGGCGUCAGUGGCUGUUUUCUAAGAUAACCCUACAUCAUUUCUGAGAGCCUAGUGCAAGAAUUACAAAAUCCUCAUGUCCCGACGUAUCACGUUACAACCCUGAAACCAUAGUGAGGUUUUCAGGUGGCAUUCAUUAACUUGAGCAAUUGCAUUUCUUUGGAAAUGGACGUUACUUAGGUAGCUUUUAGACACAAAUACUGGCAAACUAAGAUAUUACCUGCAUUUCCCUUAUGAUGCUAAGAAAUCUUGUUUAGAAAUACAUGCAUGAUUGUGUGUUUUCUCUCAGCUAGGAUGAUGGCUCAGUUCAAGGAUGAUUGGAGGAGAGAACAGUUCCAGAAUGAUGAUCUUCAAAAGAAAGUCGGUAAGUAUCUCUGAUGACCUCUUUGUUUCCACAGCCUGUACUAAACAAUCAGGUUUUUGGUUCUUUCGGCACCCCCUCUCUUCUUCCCUAUAUGCCAUCUUUUGGCUCACAUGUCAUCUCCAUGUCUUCCCUCUCCUCCCUCAAGGUUUCUGUUUAUGGACGUCUCCCACCUUAAGUUCUCUCCGUUUCUUUUACCCGAGACCUGAUUCCUUCUCAGUGCUUCCCACUUCAUUUCACAGGGCCCUUCCUGUAAACAUGGUCUUAACUCUGGCAUCCAGAGCCUUGGCAGGUUCGUUUUGAUUUUGUGAGAAGAAGGGGAGAGACUGAUGGACAUGUGGCUUCUGUUCCACGUUUAGCUUCUGGAACACUUCCAAUAACGUAGACUCUCUGUCAUACAGCAAAGUUCAAGGGGCCAUUCUCAUGCCAUUGAUGCCUCCCCAAAGCUUAUGAAAUAAAACAAGGCUGCAAAUUUGCUGAGUGAUGUUU